RNAcentral lists this transfer RNA (72 nucleotides) under Heterocephalus glaber (naked mole-rat). It matches the Rfam family "tRNA". From Rfam's summary of the family: Transfer RNA (tRNA) molecules are approximately 80 nucleotides in length. Their secondary structure includes four short double-helical elements and three loops (D, anti-codon, and T loops). Lineage: Eukaryota; Metazoa; Chordata; Mammalia; Rodentia; Bathyergidae. The record is from Rfam by way of RNAcentral.
GGGGAUAUAGCUCAGUGGUACAGAGCCUGCCUGGCAAGCGCAAGGCCCUGAGUUAAAUUCCUGGUACUCCCC